UGGGGAAUAUUGCACAAUGGGCGCAAGCCUGAUGCAGCGACGCCGCGUGAGGGAUGACGGCCUUCGGGUUGUAAACCUCUUUCACUAGGGACGAAGCGCAAGUGACGGUACCUAGAGAAGAAGCACCGGCCAACUACGUGCCAGCAGCCGCGGUAAUACGUAGGGUGCGAGCGUUGUCCGGAAUUACUGGGCGUAAAGAGCUCGUAGGUGGUUUGUCGCGUUGUUCGUGAAAACUCACAGCUUAACUGUGGGCGUGCGGGCGAUACGGGCAGACUGGAGUACUGCAGGGGAGACUGGAAUUCCUGGUGUAGCGGUGGAAUGCGCAGAUAUCAGGAGGAACACCGGUGGCGAAGGCGGGUCUCUGGGCAGUAACUGACGCUGAGGAGCGAAAGCGUGGGGAGCGAACAGGAUUAGAUACCCUGGUAGUCCACGCCGUAAACGGUGGGUACUAGGUGUGGGUUUCCUUCCUUGGGAUCCGUGCCGUAGCUAACGCAUUAAGUACCCCGCCUGGGGAGUACGGCCGCAAGGCUAA
This 532-nucleotide ribosomal RNA is filed under the name uncultured Mycobacterium sp. RNAcentral's name for it is "bacterial SSU rRNA". It matches the Rfam family "Bacterial small subunit ribosomal RNA", at positions 355 to 897 of the family's 1533-position model. Lineage: Bacteria; Bacillati; Actinomycetota; Actinomycetes; Mycobacteriales; Mycobacteriaceae. The record is from RNAcentral.